UACGGGGGGAGCAAGCGUUGUUCGGAUUUACUGGGCGUAAAGGGCGCGUAGGCGGUCGUGACAAGUCACUUGUGAAAUCUCCGGGCUUAACUCGGAACGGUCAAGUGAUACUGUCGGACUAGAGUACAGAAGGGGCAACUGGAAUUCUCGGUGUAGCGGUGAAAUGCGUAGAGAUCAGGAGGAACACCCAUGGCGAAGGCAGCUCUCUGGUCGACCUCUGACGCUGAGACGCGAAAGCGUGGGGAGCGAACGGG
RNAcentral lists this ribosomal RNA (254 nucleotides) under uncultured bacterium. RNAcentral describes it as "partial 16S ribosomal RNA". It matches the Rfam family "Bacterial small subunit ribosomal RNA", at positions 524 to 776 of the family's 1533-position model. The record is from RNAcentral.